GCCCCAUCAUCCUCCCUCGCUGGAGCGCCACCGCACGCCACCAUCACCGCUGCCGAGGUGUUGCUACCGCCGCCGGCGCUUCUCCGGUCGCCCCCAACCCCAACCAAGCCCACCUACAGGUACGAUAGAUGAACCACGUGAAGGACGUGAUAUUGGAACCAAACACGAAGACGAUGUUUGAUGGACAUAUCCAGAAGAGGCAAAGAACCAGGAGUACAUGCUUGGACCGAAAUACUCGCCAAGCGAGUGUCAUCUAACAAACACUGACCUAGUGUUAAUCCUAGGCAAGCCCCGGUGCAUAACCUACUAUUUUAAAUUAUGAAUUAUUAUAUGUGUAUUACUUGUGCAUUAUGUUUUUAGGAGUUGUCUGGAACCUUAGUUGCAUGAUCCCUAGGUUUCCUUGGUCUUAUACUCGUAUGUAUAGGUCGAUAGCACUGCUAUGCUUAAAUAAGUCUCGGUAGAAGUCGAGUGAUUUCCUGUCACUCGCGAGCUAUAAGGCCAAAGUCGAGUAAUUUCCGGUUAUUCGCAAGAUUUAUAGUUAUCUUUAUAUUCCAGUAUAUGAGAUAUGAAAUACAAUAUGGAAUGAAUGGAAAUUUGAGACCGGACGG
This is a long non-coding RNA of Panicum virgatum (switchgrass), 608 nucleotides long. RefSeq lists it as uncharacterized. The transcript has 2 exons. NCBI's taxonomy places the organism in Eukaryota, Viridiplantae, Streptophyta, Magnoliopsida, Poales, Poaceae. The record is from RefSeq and is a predicted model, not a curated record.